UCCCUGUGGUGAAGAGUCACACGGGAUCCAUUUCCAUUCAUUCGGGUCGAAUUGGUUCUCCUAUAUAAACACACAACCCGACAAUUUUGUUUCUCAAUUAGGGUUUCUCAAGCCUCUCUCCCUCUGCUCUCUAAGACUCUUCAUAGAUCUGCGUAUAAUCCAUCCGAUUCAAGGGUUUCAUAACAAUCGAUUUAUCUACAACUACAUCAAGGUAUGAUUGCGAUAUUAAGAUAUUAUUAUGAUAAGGUGUUCUUAUGUGUUCUUUGUAGAUCCAACAUAGAUUUUUUCAAUAUUUAUUGAUGAUUAUUGAUCUUGAUUUUUUUCAUGUUUUGAUUUUUGAAUCGUUCGAUAUUAUCAUCCGAACUGUUUCUUCUCAUCAUUAAUCAUUGGAAUCCUAAUUGUAUCACUACAACAACGUCAAUACACCAGGGUUUGUCGUCUUCCAGCACAGAUCUUCAAAGGUGAUCUAAUGCUUCAUUAACUAGAUGGCAAUGGAUGUAUUACCUGUACCAUUGCCACAAAGUUCUUUGCCAUGUCCAAUUUUUCUCGACAAGAUCUCAAACAGUGAUAUAUGGCAUAGAGUUUGCUUUGCAUAUGCAAAAAUUGGUGCAAUUGUCCGUUCUAACUCGAACCUAUGGUGGGUUAUGUGUUGUGGUGCUUUUAUAUGGAAAUGACAUUGAUCAAGAAUGGGUUAUUAACAUUGUAAGAGAGUAUGAGGCAAUGAAGCAUCACAUGCUCUGAUGACUAAUCGAAAAGGUUAAUGGCAUGCAAGGAACUAAACAAUUUUUAUUGAAGAUGAUUAUAGUGAUGUUGACUGAUAUUCAUGCGUGAAAUCUACUCCCAUAAGCAGUGAGAAAUGCUUCAAUUUCCACUUUAGUUUUUCAUAGAAUAUAAUCUUUGUCAAUACCGCCAAAAAUGAAGAUUAAGUCAAUUUUUUAAGUGUUGUUAAUUUGGUAAAGGACAUCUAUUUUAAGUUACAUAUGGAUGAUGAUAGAAUGUUACCUGUAACAUUAAUAGUUGGUUUCCAAAGAGUAAGUGAUAUUUUCACUUAUGUUUUUUGUAAAGCUUUGUUUAUCAAUAUUUUCAAGUCUUUAUAUCAUUGUUAUAUGUAGUGUGCAUUUGUUUGGGUAUGUACUCUACUCACUUAUUAAGGAAGAUUUGAUUUCCUUAUUCUUACUUUUUUAUACUUUUAAAUACAAGCCAACUGUCAAUGGCAGUUGCUAAUUUGUAUAUUCCAAAAUUAAAAAUUAAAAAUCUGAUUCUAGCUUUAUUCAUUGUGUCAACAUGAACAAUUGCUUGGUAGUUUCGUUUUGAUUUGAAUAUUAUGAACUUGAUAAACUUUGAAAGAAUGAGUUUUCAUGUCGAGGCCAGUAAGUGGAAACUUUAUAAACUGGAACACUAGAUAGAAGGAUAUGACGCUUACUGUUACCGGAAGCCGUAGUUAAAAUAGAGGUCGACUAUCGCCUAACUAUUGAAGAUGGAUCUCCAAAAGCGCAAAGAAGAGGUCAUGUGAUGCAUGAUGUAUGGGGUGGCAAAGGUCAUUGUAUUUGCAUUUUGUUGGUCAAGGGUCGGAUUGCUGGUCACAUUAUGUUGGUGGCGAGUCAGAUUGCAAUCUAACGUGUAACUUAAAGCUAUAAAACUUUGUACUCAAUUUGUUGCAACAUUAUAACCAUAUCUGUUAUUUUUUUACCAGCUAUGAAUUAAAAAACUGUUUUUAAUUUGAGGUUUUUAUUAUCAAA
Helianthus annuus (common sunflower) is the source of this 1739-nucleotide long non-coding RNA. RefSeq lists it as uncharacterized. The transcript is spliced from 9 exons. The record is from RefSeq and is a predicted model, not a curated record. NCBI's taxonomy places the organism in Eukaryota, Viridiplantae, Streptophyta, Magnoliopsida, Asterales, Asteraceae.